ACCCACAAGUAGCCUCAGUUCUCAGCGG
Molecule: non-coding RNA, 28 nt
Filed under: Cricetulus griseus (Chinese hamster)
Lineage: Eukaryota; Metazoa; Chordata; Mammalia; Rodentia; Cricetidae
Source: RNAcentral